This is a long non-coding RNA of Pteropus alecto (black flying fox), 2780 nucleotides long. RefSeq lists it as uncharacterized. The transcript has 5 exons. NCBI's taxonomy places the organism in Eukaryota, Metazoa, Chordata, Mammalia, Chiroptera, Pteropodidae. The record is from RefSeq and is a predicted model, not a curated record.
UCCCACCGCCCCUCCCCAAUCCUUUCCUCCUUCCCCUGUCCCCUCCUGCGCGCAAACUCGCUACUCCCUCCGGGUCACGCUCGGACCCCGCCCCUUUGCUGCUGCGCAGGCGCGGCCGUCUCUAGUCGAGUCGCGCGCAGACGCCUGCGUCAUUGGGGUUCGUGUGUCGAGUCACAGGCGGCUUUGCGAGAGCAGCGGCCGAAGCCAGCACGGUGGAGGUGGCCUCGACUCUAGGAUUUCUACCUCCUGAUCUCUUUGCAGAUUAAUGAAGAAGAAAAAAUUACUGUUUUUCAAAACAGAUCUAAGUGGAUUGACUGUACCCCCUCUUUUAUGUUGUGGCCUUGGGUAGAAGAUAAAGAUUGUCGAGUAUCUACAAAGAGAUGAAAGUUGAAGAUGUGAAGGCAGACGAGAUCUUGGCAGAAGAGAGUAGAUGCAGGGAAGGACCAAGCAUGUGCUCCUACGGAGGAAGAGAGGAAGUGAAGGAAUUAACCGAGAGUUACCUACAGAUGAUCUGACAUAGAAGAUACAUCAAGGACAAGGUCAGGACAUAGGUCAACCAUUCUGACUCAUCAUCCUCUGAUCAAACUGUAAAAUGAUACAUACUAAAAUAUUGAAGUCACAGUCUAUGGUGUCUCUAUAAAUUAUGAUAAAUAAGACACUAAACAUCCUGCAAAUAUGUGAAAUAGCACUGUUCUGGCCCCUCAGAGUCAGUGAGGCAAGUCUGUCAUAGCUCCAGGUACCCACUUGAUCAGUCAUGGUCUUGAAAACGGAUUGUAUGGUGACCAGAGCCAUCUGUGCGGCACUGCGGAGACCCACAUGGAGACCUCUGAAAGAGGGGAGCCAGACCAAGACCACUGGCCAUUGCAUGUCCACAGGUCCAAACGCUCCUAAGCUCCAGGAUCAUGUUACAUCUACCUGCACAUCUGGAUCUGUUUCCGAGUCAUCCCCACCGAGCUCUUUGGCUGGCUCAGCUGUUAGGGCAGCUGUGUACUCAGCUGUAAUUGGAGACACCUCAGAGCACGUGCAUUUCUAAUUCUGAGAAGACCCAGACCUGACCAUGAAAGUACAUGGAAUGUGAUUAGGUGGUUCGCUCGCGGAAGCGAUGUCCUCAUUGGCUGGCAGUGCUGCCAGUGUAGCAAGGCUAGAAAAGAAAAGAUAAAGGAAGAAAACAGGAAGAAGCAGUCCUCCAAGAGGCGGUGAAAACUCCACAAAGCAGAGAGAAGAAGCAUUUCCGAAGCACAGUGUGUAGUGGAUAUGAGUGUGAUUUCGGUUCUGAUUUAGACAAGAGCAUUAAAUGGGAAACAACAGUGUUCUCUGCCGCAGCCCAGGAUGGUGAUGGCAUUGGAAUUAAAAAGAAGAGAAGACAGGAAGAGAGGUUGGAUCUGACGUCCAGCUGCCCAUCCCUACGUGAGUCACCUGUCAAUCCUCGUCUCCGAGGUUCUGGGAUUAAUUUCGUUAGUAAAGGAGGUUAUAUAUUUCCAGAAAAAUUUAGCGUUUGGCAAUAUUUUUGCUAUUUUCUGACUAUGGAUGUUAUUUUUGGUUCUAUCUGUGUAUUUCAGAUAGAACUGUCCAUUGAGUACAAAAUAUAUACUGUUAUUCAGAAUAUAGAAUAUUGUUAUAGAAGAGAUUUCAUGUGGAUGGAGGUUCAUCCCUCACAUCUCAUUAUGUUAUUAAAGAUGACAUUUCAUCGUGGUUUAUACCUGGCAUUCUGAUGAACAUCAAACAUUAUGAGAACUCGUAGAAAACCGUGGCCUGUUAUGUUUGCCCAAGUGUGUUUUUCUGAUGAUGAAAGGAUAUUUGGAGACCUUUUGUGUAAACUCUUCCGAAUCCUAGCUUAUAUUUUUGUAACAUUUAGUGAUACUCUUCCUUCACCCGUAUCCUCAAUUGCCCCAUUCUAACUUGCCCCGCUCUUAACCUACUGGGGUCGAGAGGGAGUUUCGUUUUCCCUUUUAUACUUGAUUCAGCCUAUGACUUCCAAUAUUGUCCCCAUUGUCCCCAUUUUCUAAGGAAAUGAGAAAGGGCAAAGGUAAAGUACAGGGCGAGCAGGGCUGGUUCUCAGGAGAUGCAUCAUUUUUGCUCUCGUCUCAUCAGCCAGUAUGUCACUAGCCACACCUCGCUUCAGGAAGGCUGGAAAUGUAGCUACUAUCUGGGUGGUCAUAUACCAAGCAGAAAUGUUGUAGAUUUUAUUACUAGAAGAAAGAAAGGGAGAUAUACUCGGUGAUAAUUUGUUGUCACUGGCUCAGAAAACAUACCGAAGGUAAAUAUCUAGCAGGCAAUACUUACGAGGACAAAUGGAAGUAUGAGAUGACGGCGUGGGAACCAGAAAUCUUGUAUGCUUGGGGGAGUUAGUUUGUGGGGUGAAUUCGUAAGUUGGUUUAUGAACUCAUUUGGUUUAGGAUUUUGUUGUGAAUCUUUGAUAACCUGAGGUACAUUUAUUGAUCAAAGAGAAACUAUAGAGUAAGUGCUAAUUUUUUGUUACUGAAGUUCAUUGUGACACUCAUAAUUAAUUUUUCUUAAUAAAUGCACUUGUCAUAUUUUUGUGAGCUUACCUCUUAUUUAUGUUAGCCUUUUCAAUUAAGAUUUGCACUGAUGAAAGGACAAAUAGCCUAGAAGUGUUAUUGGUAUUAGACAAGUGUGUUUUACUUCAUUCAAUAUGGGUAAUAUUUUAAAGCCCUGAAAAGAACUUUAUUAUGUAAUUAUUAAAGUUUAAAGUUCUCAUAUUUUGCUUUUCAGCAAAUAGUGGAGAAACAUAUUUACUUCUAUCCAUGUAAAUCUAAAUG